UACAGAGGGUGCGAGCGUUAAUCGGAAUUACUGGGCGUAAAGCGCACGUAGGUGGCUUAGUAAGUCGGAUGUGAAAUCCCCAGGCUUAACCUGGGAACUGCAUUCGAAGCUGCUUUGCUAGAGUAUGGGAGAGGGCAGUGGAAUUUCAGGUGUAGCGGUGAAAUGCGUAGAUAUCUGAAGGAACAUCAGUGGCGAAAGCGACUGCCUGGACCAAUACUGACGCUCAUGUGCGAAAGCGUGGGGAGCAAACAGG
RNAcentral lists this ribosomal RNA (253 nucleotides) under uncultured bacterium. Its description in RNAcentral is "partial 16S ribosomal RNA". It matches the Rfam family "Bacterial small subunit ribosomal RNA", at positions 524 to 776 of the family's 1533-position model. The record is from RNAcentral.